GUGAAUCAUCGAAUCUUUGAACGCAAAUUGCACUCUCUUCGGUGAGUAUGGCUGUUUGAGUGUCAGCCUAAUUAAAAUCGUCAUAGUUGCUGCUUCGCGUUAACAUCCGUCGGAAAUUGGGUCCUCUUAAAACCUUGGGUUUAAGCGGCUUAACAUUUUCUUUACGAUUCCAAGAACGUUUCUAAGCUUUUUUUUUCUUAUACGUUUAAGGUAUCCCUCUUUAUUAGACGUUGCCGUUGCAUCGGAUAUCGUCCAUAA
This 258-nucleotide unclassified non-coding RNA is filed under the name Glomus sp. Its description in RNAcentral is "partial contains 5.8S ribosomal RNA and internal transcribed spacer 2". The stretch from base 1 to 65 matches the Rfam family "5.8S ribosomal RNA", at positions 84 to 154 of the family's 154-position model. The record is from RNAcentral. Lineage: Eukaryota; Fungi; Glomeromycota; Glomeromycetes; Glomerales; Glomeraceae.